AUGUACCAGGACAAAGUCUACACUCUGUUCAUCAGGCUCCUGAGAAUUCCUUCUGGGACACUCGAUCAGUUGGAGCAACCAUUGCAUAAAUUUGUAGAACUUGUGUCCAUUAACACCUCUUUGUCAAUUAUAAUUUGCUCUAAUUUUAUGUCAGAUUUUCUGAAGAUACCAUCCUAGCUUUCUGCCACGCAGAAGUAGUUGGAAGAUAAGUAUUUAAUUAAGUAUUUACAGAAUUUCUGCUAUGUAUUCAUCCCGCAUAUAACGAAAUACCUACCUUAAGAGAGCUCAAAGUUCAGUUGGGAAUACAGGCUAAAUACAUAAAACAUCAGCCCAUAAAUAAAAUUACAUGCUCAGUCAUCCUGGGAAUGAUAUAAGGAUAUAUUACAGAACAGUAUAAUGUAUUCCUAUGUCAUCACACCAGUGGCACAUAUAUUUGUUUUUCUUACCUACUGCCUUAUCUUCCCCACUAAAAUGGAAGCUCCAUGAGAGAAACUUCUUUUUAACAUUUUUGGCUCAUGUGGUUUCCUCAGUGCCUGGCAUGUAAUUGGUGCUUACUAAAUUUUGUUGACUGAAUGAAUAAGUCAAGUUCUUAGGAUAUUCAGAGAAACAAAGGAUUCAUGGAGUGCCCCCAGAGGAGCCUUAACUAUGCUUUUAUUUAGCUUGCUUUAUAGCAAUCGGUAGAUUUUAGCAAACAGUUUAUUUCUACAAUAAAUAAGAAAAUGUGUAUAUAACUGAAAUAGAAAAUGUGUAUAUAAUUGGAAUGAAAGGAAUUUAAAUUGGGUGUUAAGAGUCGAUGAGACCCUCUAAGCUUAUUGCUAGGUUUUCCUAGAAUCAGUUCUUUUCAAACAUUAUUUUAAAACAGAACAACUAUAUUUUCAAACAAAAUAUGAUAAAUGAAACAGAUAAAAGUAAAGCUGCUCUGGAGUUCCCACUAUGGCUCAGCGGCAAUGAAUGUGAC
This 958-nucleotide long non-coding RNA is filed under the name Sus scrofa (pig). Its description in RNAcentral is "lncRNA (ENSSSCG00025017205.1, ENSSSCG00045006386.1)". Lineage: Eukaryota; Metazoa; Chordata; Mammalia; Artiodactyla; Suidae. The record is from RNAcentral.